Molecule: ribosomal RNA, 3002 nt
Filed under: fermentation metagenome
Description: bacterial LSU rRNA
Rfam family: Bacterial large subunit ribosomal RNA
Source: RNAcentral
AGGGCGCACGAUGGAUGCCUUGGUACUGGAAGCCGAUGAAGGACGUGGCUAGCGACGAAAAUGCCCCGGCGAGGUGCAAGCAACCUUUGACCCGGGGAUCUCCGAAUUGGGAAACCACGCGGCCGUAACGGGCCGUCAGCCUCUUACUGAACACAUAGGUUUGAGGCGGGUAAGCGGGCGAACUGAAACAUCUUAGUAGCCCGAGGAAGGGAAAGCAAAAGCGACUCCCCUAGUAGUGGCGAGCGAACGGGGACCAGCCCAAACCUUGUACGUGUCGAAGCUUGUGGGCGUUGCGUACAGGGUGUUGCGGGAAGAGCUUAUCUGCCGCCACAACGGCGGAGGGUGGACGCGGCGUUUAGCCGAAACACCUGGAAAGGUGUGUCAUAGCGGGUAAUAGCCCCGUAGGCGAAAGGCGCUGGCGCAGCCUGGCUCUAUCCCAAGUAGUGCGGGACACGUGAAAUCCCGCGCGAAUCUGGGAGGACCACCUCCUAAGGCUAAGUACUUCCAGUAACCGAUAGCGGACUAGUACCGUGAGGGAAAGGUGAAAAGAACCCCGGAAGGGGAGUGAAAUAGAACCUGAAAUCGUGUGCCUACAAGCUGUGGGAGCCCGGUGGUCCAUCUUUUGGUGGGCCCGGGUGACCGCGUGCUUUUUGCAUAACGAACCGGCGAGUUGUGGUGUGUCGCGAGGUUAAGCGGUGAACCGCGGAGCCGAAGGGAAACCGAGUCCGAAUAGGGCGCCAUAGUGGCACGCUGCAGACCCGAAACCAGGUGACCUACCCAUGGUCAGGGUGAAGCUCGGCUAAUCCCGAGUGGAGGCCCGAACCGUUUCAUGUUGAAAAAUGUUCGGAUGAACUGUGGGUAGCGGUGAAAAGCCAAACGAACCUGGCGAUAGCUGGUUCUCUCCGAAAUAGCUUUAGGGCUAGCCUCUGGUGAUCAGUGGCGGAGGUAGAGCACUGGAUGGGCUAGGGCCCUUGACAGGGUACCAACCCCAACCAAACUCCGAAUGCCGUCACUUCACAGCCAGGGAGUCAGACUACGGGGGAUGAGCUUCGUGGUCGAAAGGGAAACAGCCCAGACCGCCAGCUAAGGUCCCUAAACUACGCUAAGUGGAAAAGGAUGUGGAAGUGCCAAGACAGCCAGGAGGUUGGCCUAGUAGCAGCCAUCCUUUAAAGAGUGCGUAAUAGCUCACUGGUCAAGGUCUUCGGGCCAAGUGCUUCCGCGCCGAAAAUUCAACGGGGCUCAAGCGUAGUACCGAAGCUGCGGACUCGAAAGAGUGGUAGGAGAGCGUUCCGCUGUAGGUUGAAGGAGGACCGUGAGGACCUCUGGACGACGCGGAAGUGAGUAUGCCGGUAUGAGUAGCGAAAAGCUGGGUGAGAAUCCCAGCCGCCGUAAGCCUAAGGUUUCUUAAGCAAGGCUCGUCCACUUAAGGUUAGUCGGGCCUAAGCCGAGGGCGAAAGCCGUAGGCGAUGGACAGCAGGUUAAUAUUCCUGCACCACCGCUCCGGCGCGAGUACUGAAGGGGUGACGCAGCAGGGUAGGUCAACCGCGUCAUUGGUUGAACGCGGCCGUGCUCAUAGGAGGGAUGGCAGGGAAAUCCACCAUCCACUACUCUGAGGUGUGCGGCGAGCCGCCGUAAUGGUGGCGAAGUGAUUGACCCCAUACUGCCAGGAAAAGCCUCUAGGGAAUGCCGGACGGUGCCCGUACCGCAAACCGACACAGGUAGGCAAGGAGAGAAUCCUAAGGCGCGCGAGAGAACCCUCGUUAAGGAACUCGGCAAAAUGACCCCGUAACUUAGGGAGAAGGGGUGCUCUAAUAGCGUGAGUCAUAUAACUUUGAUGAGCGUGAGAGAGCCGCAGUGAUCAGGCCCAGGCGACUGUUUACCAAAAACACAGGUCUCUGCUAAAUCGAAAGAUGAUGUAUAGAGGCUGACGCCUGCCCGGUGCUGGAAGGUUAAAGGGAAUGGUUAGCGCAAGCGAAGCUAUGAACUGAAGCCCCAGUGAACGGCGGCCGUAACUAUAACGGUCCUAAGGUAGCGAAAUUCCUUGUCGGGUAAGUUCCGACCCGCACGAAAGGUGUAACGAUCUGAGCACUGUCUCAAUUACCCGCCCGGCGAAAUUGUAGUACCGGUGAAGAUGCCGGUUACCCGCGACAAGACGGAAAGACCCCAUGGAGCUUUACUGUAGUUUAAUAUUGGAUUUCGGUAAUUUAUGUACAGGAUAGGUGGGAGACACGGAAACUUGCGCGCCAGCGUGAGCGAAGUCGUCCUUGGGAUACCACCCUUAAGUUGCUGAAAUUCUAACCUGCGGCCGUAUAUCCGGCCGGGGGACAAUGUUAGACGGGCAGUUUGACUGGGGCGGUCGCCUCCUAAAAGGUAACGGAGGCGCUCAAAGGUUGGCUCGGCACGGAUGGAAACCGUGCAAGAGAGUGUAAACGCACAAGCCAGCCUGACUGCGAGGAUGACAGUCCGAGCAGGAACGAAAGUUGGAGUUAGUGAUCCGGCGGUAUGAAAGUGGAAUUGCCGUCGCUUAACGGAUAAAAGCUACCCUGGGGAUAACAGGCUGAUCUCCCCCAAGAGUCCACAUCGACGGGGAGGUUUGGCACCUCGAUGUCGGCUCGUCGCAUCCUGGGGCUGAAGUAGGUCCCAAGGGUUGGGCUGUUCGCCCAUUAAAGCGGCACGCGAGCUGGGUUCAGAACGUCGUGAGACAGUUCGGUCCCUAUCUUCCGUGGGCGUUGGAGACUUGAGGGGCGCUGUCCCUAGUACGAGAGGACCGGGAUGGACGAACCUCUGGUGUACCAGUUGUCGCACCAGCGGCACACGCUGGGUAGCUAUGUUCGGUUUUGGAUAAGCGCUGAAAGCAUCUAAGCGCGAAGCCGACCCCAAGACCAGGUCUCCACGAGCUUUGAGCUGUAAGGCCCCUGAUAGACUAUCAGGUUGAUAGGCCGGAGGUGUAAGCACAGCAAUGUGUUCAGCUGACCGGUACUAAUCGGCCGAGCGCUUGGCCG